Molecule: ribosomal RNA, 555 nt
Filed under: Odoribacter sp. HGA0027
Lineage: Bacteria; Pseudomonadati; Bacteroidota; Bacteroidia; Bacteroidales; Odoribacteraceae
Description: bacterial SSU rRNA
Rfam family: Bacterial small subunit ribosomal RNA
Source: RNAcentral
AGUCGAGGGGCAUCAUGAGGUAGCAAUACCUUGAUGGCGACCGGCGCACGGGUGAGUAACGCGUAUGCAACCUGCCCGAUACCGGGGUAUAGCCCAUGGAAACGUGGAUUAACACCCCAUAGUACUUUUAUCCUGCAUGGGAUGUGAGUUAAAUGUUCAAGGUAUCGGAUGGGCAUGCGUCCUAUUAGUUAGUUGGCGGGGUAACAGCCCACCAAGACGAUGAUAGGUAGGGGUUCUGAGAGGAAGGUCCCCCACAUUGGAACUGAGACACGGUCCAAACUCCUACGGGAGGCAGCAGUGAGGAAUAUUGGUCAAUGGACGUAAGUCUGAACCAGCCAAGUCGCGUGAGGGAAGACUGCCCUAUGGGUUGUAAACCUCUUUUAUAAGGGAAGAAUAAGUUCUACGUGUAGAAUGAUGCCUGUACCUUAUGAAUAAGCAUCGGCUAACUCCGUGCCAGCAGCCGCGGUAAUACGGAGGAUGCGAGCGUUAUCCGGAUUUAUUGGGUUUAAAGGGUGCGUAGGCGGUUUAUUAAGUUAGUGGUUAAAUAUUUGAGCU